AGCUCCAGUAUUUAUACUGUAUUUACACACUAGAUAACCCAUAGGUUUCCAGAAAAGGCCUAUUUCACUUACCCAUAGAAUUGAAACCAGGGGUUUUAAUUUACACAUAAAAUCAGAACCCAGGCAUUUCCAACAACCCAGGAAACAAAAACCCAGAGUUUCUAGUUACCUAGGUUGUCAAAAACCAGGAUUCUCAUUUACCUAGGUUGUCAAAAACCAGGACUUUCGUUUACCUAGGUAGUCAGAAACCAGGAUUCUCAAUUCCCUAGGUAAAAAAAAUGACGUAAGCAAGACGACUAAACAACCGGGAGGGACCUUGGUCUUAUCGUUAUCUCGAGGGGGGGGGCCGCCACCCUUAUAACUGGCUUUCUUCAUGGUUCUCUAAAAAUUAAGGCUUUCCUUGCGAGACGAGAAUCUUCACCAUCUGAAUCAUGAGUCCUGUUCUGUAGGUCCAUCAGGUGAAUCUCUGAGG
This is a long non-coding RNA of Ictalurus punctatus (channel catfish), 472 nucleotides long. RefSeq lists it as uncharacterized. The transcript has 2 exons. The record is from RefSeq and is a predicted model, not a curated record. NCBI's taxonomy places the organism in Eukaryota, Metazoa, Chordata, Actinopteri, Siluriformes, Ictaluridae.